AAUGUAGCUAUGAUGACUAUAUGCAGCUUUAAAUGCCAGUUCUGCUUCAGAGAAUUCUUGAUUGAUAGAGCUGUAAUGUAUUCUGAGCUCAUU
Molecule: non-coding RNA, 93 nt
Organism: Punica granatum (pomegranate)
Lineage: Eukaryota; Viridiplantae; Streptophyta; Magnoliopsida; Myrtales; Lythraceae
Source: Rfam